Molecule: ribosomal RNA, 467 nt
Filed under: uncultured bacterium
Lineage: Bacteria
Description: partial 16S ribosomal RNA
Rfam family: Bacterial small subunit ribosomal RNA
Source: RNAcentral
GAUGAACGCUGACAGAAUGCUUAACACAUGCAAGUCAACUUGAAUUUGGGUUUUUAACUUAGGUUUGGGUGGCGGACGGGUGAGUAACGCGUAAAGAACUUGCCUCACAGCUAGGGACAACAUUUGGAAACGAAUGCUAAUACCUAAUAUUAUGAUAAUAGGGCAUCCUAUAAUUAUGAAAGCUAUAAGCGCUGUGAGAGAGCUUUGCGUCCCAUUAGCUAGUUGGAGAGGUAACGGCUCACCAAGGCGAUGAUGGGUAGCCGGCCUGAGAGGGUGAUCGGCCACAAGGGGACUGAGGCACGGCCCUUACUCCUACGGGAGGCAGCAGUGGGGAAUAUUGGACAAUGGACCAAGAGUCUGAUCCAGCAAUUCUGUGUGCACGAUGAAGUUUUUCGGAAUGUAAAGUGCUUUCAGUUGGGAAGAAAGAAAUGACGGUACCAACAGAAGAAGUGACGGCUAAAUACGUG